UGUCGACGGCCUCUGGCUCAUCCUUUUCCCAUAUGUACUUACCGGUGUGAUUAAUCAGCUAGCUAGUCGAAGCUUUUCUGCAAUAAUUAAUGAUGGGCAGCGGCAGCGGGCCUGCCCGGCCGAAAAAGGUCACUCUGGCCGGGGGCCGUCUGCAAAAGCAAGCCACGUGACCGACCUCUGCGCUGCUGCUGCUGCUGCUGCUGCACCGUUGGCUCUGUG
RNAcentral lists this long non-coding RNA (219 nucleotides) under Setaria italica (foxtail millet). Its description in RNAcentral is "long non-coding RNA (SITA_LNC001160)". The record is from RNAcentral. Lineage: Eukaryota; Viridiplantae; Streptophyta; Magnoliopsida; Poales; Poaceae.